GAACUAAAACCAACUCUAGAGGCAAAGGUCUGGAGACCCAAGUACUUAGCAUUAAAAUCUUCCUGGUCUUCUCUGUAGGUGAAGCCCUGGUUGCUGUCUCAGGUCUGUGCCAAGGCACAGAGCUUUAGAGUCAAUUCCUGAUGCUGAUUCCCCGGAGAAAAGAGGACAAAGCAAAACAAACCAAAGUGUUGCAGUGGCCUGGAGACCCUGAGUUCAGUCAGACUGGGUAUUAGAUCUUCAUUACAGAACUAAGGAACCCCAGGGACUUUCAUUGCUAAACCGAGGCCAAUACAAAGAAUCUCUCUAAGCCACAUGUAUCAAGCAAGCCCUAAGGAGCCUUGAGUCUUCACGCCAACGCAGGUUGUGGUUACAAGGUCAACAGAGGUACAAGCUUGCUUUGCAAGAAAGAGGAUGCUCACUUACUUUACCCAGCAUCUUUUAACUAGAGGCCCUAUAUUUGUUUUUGAAAACGUGUGUGUGUGUGUGUGUUUCUGUCUGUCAUCCCCUUCUAAAGACUCAGAGCUAUCUCCAAAAUGUGAGACCCACACAGAAAUCUUAACAAAGUCCUGACAGGAACAGGAAACUCUCUCUGGUCCUGUGAAACUUACAGGGGUAAGAGUCAAAUAGAGUAGAAUAUCAUUUAUUACCUGGAGAUAGUAAAAUAAGGAACUGAGGUUAAUAAAUAUCAUCUUGCCUCAGACCUUAAGCCCCUCUAAAGGCCAUAUUUGCAAAAUCUUUUGAUUUAGGAUGAGAUUAGUUUCCAGGGGAUAUUCCUGUCCUCUGUGGAGAAGCUCCCUGGGCUCUGAAGGCAGCGCCUCCCCUCUCUUUGGAAGGUCUCAUGCUGACAGCUGUCCCAGUAGAUUUGUGUGGAACACUCUGAGCAAGGCUUGUUGUCACAUCUGAGUCCCACAUGCUGAGUAAAACCCUCUGCCAAUGGCAUGUACACUCUAACUGCUGAGACGGGGGACAACCCUGUUGAUGGAAAGAAUGACAGAUUGUGCACAUCACACACACACACACACACACACACACACACACCCUCAGGCAUCUAAAUAUGUUGCCAAUCUUACCUAAGCACUGAAGAUGAAAUUCCUGAACUCCCCCUUUAUCUUUUAAUUAUUCUUAGGACGACUCCAUUCUUGCAGAAGGUGACUUGUGUCUGUGCCGUUCCUUCUGCCUCACCUGUAUCUUAUUAAUCUUUCUGCCCCUAUCUUGCCUCAUAAAUAGCUUUCCACGGUUCUCUGACUUAAGGCAACUUUACUUCUGG
RNAcentral lists this long non-coding RNA (1267 nucleotides) under Marmota monax (woodchuck). The record is from RNAcentral. Lineage: Eukaryota; Metazoa; Chordata; Mammalia; Rodentia; Sciuridae.